Molecule: ribosomal RNA, 463 nt
Filed under: uncultured bacterium
Lineage: Bacteria
Description: partial 16S ribosomal RNA
Rfam family: Bacterial small subunit ribosomal RNA
Source: RNAcentral
GAUGAACGCUGACAGAAUGCUUAACACAUGCAAGUCUUUGGCGAAGCUGUGCUCGCACAGCCUAGCUACGGCGGACGGGUGAGUAACGCGUAAGGAACUUGCCCUGCAGUCAGGGAUAACAGACGGAAACGACUGAUAAGACCUGGUAAAGUCAGGCGGACUCAUGUCCAGCCUGAUGAAAAGAGAUGCUGCAGGAGAGCCUUGCGUCCUAUUAGCUUGUUGGUGGGGUAACGGCCCACCAAGGCGAUGAUAGGUAGCCGGCCUGAGAGGGUGGACGGCCACAAGGGGACUGAGAUACGGCCCUUACUCCUACGGGAGGCAGCAGUGGGGAAUAUUGGACAAUGGGGGCAACCCUGAUCCAGCAAUUCUGUGUGCACGAUGAAGGUUUUCGGAUUGUAAAGUGCUUUCAGCAGGGAAGAAAAAAAUGACGGUACCUGCAGAAGAAGCGACGGCUAAAUACGUG